RNAcentral lists this ribosomal RNA (324 nucleotides) under uncultured eukaryote. Its description in RNAcentral is "partial 18S ribosomal RNA". It matches the Rfam family "Eukaryotic small subunit ribosomal RNA", at positions 1470 to 1796 of the family's 1831-position model. The record is from RNAcentral.
CCCUUAGAUGUCCUGGGCCGCACGCGCGCUACACUGAUGCAUUCAACGAGUUUCUUCCUGGUCCGAGAGGAAUGGGUAACCUUUUGAAAGUGCAUCGUGAUAGGGAUAGACUAUUGCAAUUAUUGGUCUUCAACGAGGAAUUCCUAGUAGACGUAGUUCAUCAGACUGCAUCGAUUACGUCCCUGCCCUUUGUACACACCGCCCGUCGCUCCUACCGAUUGAAUGCUCAGGUGAGCCAUUCGGACUUUCAUCAUGCUGGUUUCCAGUUUUGAUGAAGGAAAGUCUUGCAAACCUUAUCAUUUAGAGGAAGGAGAAGUCGUAACA